GACGAACGCUGGCGGCGUGCUUAACACAUGCAAGUCGAACGGAAAGGCCCUGCUUUUGUUGGGUGCUCGAGUGGCGAACGUGUGGGUAACACGUGAGAAACCUGCCCUUUACUUUGGGAUAACUUCAGUAAACUGGGGCUAAUACCUGAUAGGAGCUCCUGCUGCAUGGUGUGGGUUGGAAAGUUUCGGCGGUUGGGGAUGGACUCGCGGCUUAUCAGCUUGUUGGUGGGGUAGUGGCUUACCAAGGCUCUGACGGGUAGCCGGCCUGAGAGGGUGACCGGCCACAUUGGGACUGAGAUAAGGCCAAGACUCCUACGGGAGGCAGCAGUGGGGAAUAUUGCACAAUGGGCGGAAGCCUGAUGCAGGAACGCCGGGUGCGGGAUGACGGCCUUCGGGUUGUAAACCGCUUUCGCCUGUGACGAAGCGUGAGUGACGGUAAUGGGUAAAGAAGCACCGGCUAACUACGUG
Molecule: ribosomal RNA, 468 nt
Filed under: uncultured bacterium
Lineage: Bacteria
Description: partial 16S ribosomal RNA
Rfam family: Bacterial small subunit ribosomal RNA
Source: RNAcentral